UUUAGCAAGCACCCCCUGAGCAAAGAGAAUUUAGUUCAGCACCCCGAAACUAGACGAGCUACUUCAAGACAGCCUAAUAAACCGAAGGGCACACCCGUCUCUGUUGCAAAAGAGUGGGAAGAUCUUCAAGUAGUGGUGACAAGCCUACCGAGCCUAGUUUUAGCUGGUUGUCUGAGAAAUGAAUUUAAGUUCAGCCUCCUGAUUCCCAAAGUCAAAAGCACCUAUGCCCACAAAGACCUCGCGGCACAUCAAGAGAGUUAGUCAAGCGGGGUACAGCCCGCCUGAAAAAGGAUACAACCUCUAACGGAAGACUAAAGAUCAUAUCAACCAAGGAACUUCACCUUAGUGGGCCCAAAAGCAGCCACCUAUAAUGAAAGCGUUACAGCUCCCGUACAAACUACAUCCAGUAAUACCGAACAGUUCUCUUUAAUCCCCCACACUAUCAGACCCUCCCACCAACCCUGGGAAAGAUUAUGCUAAAAUGAGUAAUAAGAGGGUACGCCCCUCUCCCCCACACAUGUUCAAGUCGGAACGGACCCGCCCCCGACAACUAAACGACCUCCCCCGAGAGCAGUGUACUGCCACACAAAUAGCAAGAAAAUCAGACACGUCUAAUUCGUUGACCCAACACAGGUGUGUAGCCCCGGAAAAACUAAAGUAAAGGGAAGGAACUCGGCAAACACAAGCCUCGCCUGUUUACCAAAAACAUCGCCUCUUGCAAAAUUAACGAAUAAGAGGUCCAGCCUGCCCAGUGACCCUGUUAAACGGCCGCGGUAUCUUGACCGUGCAAAGGUAGCGCAAUAAAUUGUCUCUUAAUUGGAGACUAGUAUGAAAGGCAUCACGAGGGCUUAACUGUCUCCCCUUUAAAGUUAAUGAAAUUGAUCUCCCCGUGCAGAAGCGGGGAUACGCUCGUAAGACGAGAAGACCCUAUGGAGCUUUAGACACAAAGACAACCCAUGUAAAACACCCCCUCAAAGGAACAAAACAAACUGGGCCUUGUUAGUAUGUCUUCGGUUGGGGCGACCACGGAGAAAAACAGAACCUCCACAUGGAUUGGGGCCACUAGCCCUUAAGACACAGACCCACAGGUCCAAUUAACAGCAUAUCUGACCACAAAGAACCGGCACAAGCCGAUCAAUGGACCAAGUUACCCUAGGGAUAACAGCGCAAUCCCCUCAAAGAGGCCUUAUCGAAGAGAGGGUUUACGACCUCGAUGUUGGAUCAGGACAUCCUAAUGGUGCAGCCGCUAUUAAGG
Molecule: ribosomal RNA, 1255 nt
Filed under: Lampanyctus reinhardti
Lineage: Eukaryota; Metazoa; Chordata; Actinopteri; Myctophiformes; Myctophidae
Description: partial 16S rRNA
Rfam family: Bacterial large subunit ribosomal RNA
Source: RNAcentral